RNAcentral lists this long non-coding RNA (266 nucleotides) under Oryza brachyantha (malo sina). RNAcentral describes it as "long non-coding RNA (OBRA_LNC002646)". The record is from RNAcentral. Lineage: Eukaryota; Viridiplantae; Streptophyta; Magnoliopsida; Poales; Poaceae.
AUGGUCAAAUUUGGCUAACUUGAAGUGUGACAAGCUUAGGCAAGUUGUGGUAACCAACCAAACAACCCCAUAGAUACUAACAUGGCCACGCGAAGCGAUCGAGAUGGCCUGACAUGGAUGAAAGAAUAGCGCAGGUUUCCUCCCUUUCUUCAACUUCCUCCCCCCUAUUGAUGUCCUCUCCCCAUCCUCCGGAUCCUGAAAUGCAACCCACACUUCUCGUCAGAAGGGUAGCCGGUGCUGGUGAAGCGGGAGGGGGAGGGUAUCGG